GACAUCGCUGUAUAAUUCAGACAGUGGAGGCGCGUGGCUUAGUGGUUAGGGUGUCAGCAUCAUGAUCGUAAGACUGUGGUUUCGAUUCCUGGACCGGGCGACGCGUUGUGUUCUUGAGCAAAACACUUCAUUUCACGUUGCUCCAGUCCACUCAGCUGGCAAAAAGGAGUAACACUGCGAUGGACUGGUGUCCCGUCCAGCUGGGGAACACAUACGCCAUUGAAACCGGGAAACCGGGCCCAUAAGCCUGGCUAGGCUUUAAAAGGGUGCUUUUAUUUUGUGGAAGCGCAAUGGCCCAGUGGUUAGGGCAGCGGAUUCACGGUCAGAUGACCGCGGUUUCGAUUCCCAGAUCGGGCGUUGAGAGCGUUUAUUGAGUGAAAACACCUAAGUUCCACGAGGCUCCGGCAGGGGGUGGUGGAGACCCCUGUUGUACUCUUUCGCCCCAACUUUCUCUCACUGUUUCUUCCUGUUUCAUAUGUAUAUGUAUAUAUGUAUAUAUAUAUAUAUAUAUAUAUAUACACAUGUAUGUAUAUAUAUAUGUAUAUAUAUAUGUAUGUAUAUAUAUGUAUGUGUAUAUAUGUAUAUAUUCAUAUGUAUAUUUACGUAUAUGUGCAUAUAUGUGUAUAUGUGUGUGUUUGUGUAAAUACACUCACACACACACAAACACACACACAUAUUGUUGUAUCUUAGGAAAUUUAUUCUGCUUUAAUGCCUUAUUAAUUAGCACAUACACCGGUUCGAUUUCCACCCAUUGACAUUUUUUUAAAUUUCUGAUACCUCGUCAAUAGGUAUUGACUCUGUCACAUAUAUUUGUACACACACACUCACACACACACACAUACAUACAUACAUACAUACAUAUAUAUUUAUAUGAGUGAGAUAGAGAGAUAAAGAGAGAGAGAGAGAGAGAGAGAGAGAGAGAGAGAGAGAGAGAGAGAGAUGUUCAUAGGCAAACAUGUAAAAGUAAAACUAUGUUAAAAUUUUUCUUUUCUCUUUUUUAUUCAGCUGAAUUAGAAAAAACUUUCAUGAACAAAUUUAAAGGUUUAUUUAUCAAAAGCAAAUCACGUAAAAGAAAAGAUAGUAGAAAAUCUGUACGGGUCCGGAAAGCACAGAUGCAGACGUGUAGCAACAUACCUCUUGUUCCAAAUAAAAUGAACUAAUUACUGUGAUACUUAUAUUCAUCGUUUCGGAUGAAUUAACCAACCAGAGCUUUCAUCACCAACUAUCUUCAUCAACACCGGAGAGAGCUUCAACAUGUUUGUGCCUUCUGCAAGAAAGAGUUGUCAAAUUCCUAACACUUUCAUUGCAUUCUACCGUCUCAAAAAUGUAGAAGUAGUCUUAAACAGACCUAAUAUGUAAGAGCAGUCAAGGUUUAAAGACGUUUGUCGCUUAAGGUUUUUCCUUGCUAAACAAAGAACAUUACCACGCUGCCUCCACCAUCACCAACAGCACCAUCACCACCACGUCCACUAACACCAUCACCACCACCAACACCAUCACCACUACCACUACUAUCACCAUCAAACACCAUCAGCAAUAGCGAGUCAACGGGGGUGUCUUUACGUGGUCCCCUGAUCUUCAAGAAAUAGCAGCGAAGCUUUUUUGUCGAGGACAGGGCAAAAAGCUAACAAAACGUGCCACGAAACAUUAAAUGUCUAUCCCCAGAGAAAGCAAAUAGGGUAUUUGAAAAGGAGAGGGUGUCAUUUCCCGGGACAGGAAUUUCACGGUGGUGGUGAAGCAUCGAUGAUUUGUUGAUGUAAAUGAUGGAUAACUGAAAUAAAAUAAUGAAGACUAGUGCAAAUUGGCGGGACGGGAAAAAGGACAGAAGGGUUCAAAAUACAUUCGGGUGACAAACUAUUUGUGAAAAAAAAAAAAAAAAAAAACUCGUUAACACACUAGUAAACUUGUUCCGGUCAAUGCAAAAAAAAGUGCUCGCUGGUAAUCUUGGUUGCAUCAAAUCCUAGUUUGAAGGGAAACGAAGCGGUAGCUCGUCACCCGCGUUAGGCUCCCUUAAUAUGUAUUUUAAUUAUUCCGUUUAUAGUUGUAUAUAAUGUAUAUUGUAUAUAUAUAUGUGUGUGUGCUCGCGCGUGUGUGUACGUGUGUAUGUGCUCAUAUAUAUAUGUAAAUAGAAAGGAGUAUAUACGUAUAUAUAUAUAUAUACAUAUAUAUAUAUGUAGGUAUGUUUCUAUAUAUUUAUAUAUGUUUCUAUGUAUAUAUACCUUCAUUUCGCGGUGGUUUACAGUUUUAAAAGUUUUUAUAAUACAAUGUAUUUACUAUUUUUCUCUGUUAAAUAAUUUUUUCACAACUUUUUAAAACAUUUGCAUAUACGAUUUAUAUUUUUCGUGAAUAAAAUAAAUUAUUAUUAUUA
Molecule: long non-coding RNA, 2368 nt
Organism: Octopus bimaculoides (California two-spot octopus)
Lineage: Eukaryota; Metazoa; Mollusca; Cephalopoda; Octopoda; Octopodidae
Source: RefSeq, a predicted model, not a curated record